This is a long non-coding RNA of Tachysurus fulvidraco (yellow catfish), 183 nucleotides long. RefSeq lists it as uncharacterized. The record is from RefSeq and is a predicted model, not a curated record. The transcript has 3 exons. NCBI's taxonomy places the organism in Eukaryota, Metazoa, Chordata, Actinopteri, Siluriformes, Bagridae.
GUCACCUUGUGUGUGUAUGUGUGUGUAGUUGACACUCUGCAGAUUCAGUGUUAUCAGUGUGAGGAGAUUCGGCAAGAUGACUGCUCAUCACCAGAAUUCAUCGUUAACUGCACUGUUAAUGUGCAGGACAUGUGCCAGAAAGAAGUACUUAUCAUGGAGGAUGGUGUACACUACAGGAAGCCA